AGCACAGGACCGCCCACAGCCUCACCCCUCCAGCUGUCAUCGCACCUGCCUCGCACACUUCACAUCCCCAGACCUCUCACCCUAUCCGUCUGCCCAGUGAGUGAUGACUCACGCAAGGCUCCGAGCCUAUUGAUUACUUUCUCAGGGUCUGCCCAGUCCCAGGGCCACGUGAGACUAUUUGGCUCACGGUCUCUAGUGUUUCAGACGGGAGCUCCCUUUCGUGAGUCCCUCUCUUCCUGACUGCAGCUCUCCACAGUUUGCCGCCCUCCCGGCUCCGUGAUGGUCCUGCAGGUGCCGGAGGGCCCCUGCGCAGCGGCUCUGCCGGCGUUACUGGUGGCACUGCUCAGCGCCGCGGCCCAGGGCAGGGCCUCGCCAGAGAACUACGCGCUGCAGGCGCGCCAGGAGUGCCACGCGCGCCCGGGGACGCCGCGCUUCGUGGAGAGAUACGUCUACAACCGCGAGGAGUACGUGCGCUUCGACAGCGACGUGGGCCUGUUCCAGGCGGUGACCGAGCUGGGGCGGCGGAGCGCCGAGUCCUGGAACCGCCAGAAGGACCUCGUGGAGGGGAAGCGGGCCGUGGCGGGCACCGCGUGCAGACACAACUACGAGGCGGUGGCGCCCAUCGUGGCGCAGCGCCGAGUCCAGCCUAAAGUGAACGUCUCCCCCUCCAAGAAGGGGCCCCUGCAGCACCACAACCUGCUUGUCUGCCACGUGACAGAUUUCUACCCAGGCAACAUUCAAGUCCAGUUGUUCCUCAAUGGACAGGAGGAGACAGCUGGGGUCGUGUCCACCAACGUGAUCCGGAACGGGGACUGGACCUUCCAGAUCCUGGUGAUGCUGGAAAUGGCCCCCCAGCAGGGAGAUGUCUACACCUGCCAAGUGGAGCACCCCAGCCUGGACAGUCCUGUCACUGUGGAGUGGAAGGCACAGUCAGAUUCUGCCCGGAGCAAGAUGGUGGCGGGAGCCGGGGGCCUUGUGCUGGGGCUCAUCACCUUUGCAGUGGGGCUGUCCAUGCACAGGAGGAGCAGGAAAGGUGAGCAGCGUGCAGGGCGCCUGAGGCUUGCCUUUCCCUGCCUUACCCAUCUUCCUGCUGAGGGGCUGAGACACAAAGGCAAUGCCAGAGAGUUCUGGAGGCCACUGAAGUCAGAUAGUAGGAGCAGGUCGGGGAGCAGAGACGGCCCGUAGGGAGGGAGGGACCCCAGGCUGCGAUCUUAGCACAGCCAGACGCACAUGGUCCCCCUUACUGUGGCUCGUCAGGGCAUCCAUCGAGUCACGGACAACGGAAGAUGAGACGGGAAAGAUUCUCUAAUUGUCCAAGGUGCUUUUAAUGGUUUAAUCCAUUCCUUCCCUCUUUUCAUUUCAGUCCAACAAGGAUCUUCAUAGACAGGGUCCCUGACCUGACCUGAAAAACUACAUGUGCCUUGGAACAAGUAGUUUUCUGUGUUUCUUAGUCCCAGAGGCUGGCUCUGGGACAGACCCCAGCUUCCCAGGAGAAUGUUGCUGCCAAGUAUUUGCUCUGAAGCCAGUUUCCCUGGUUCUGCUCUUUGAUUCAAUGCACGGUUGCUAUCAUGGGUUUCCACCCAAGUUCCCUUCUCCCUAGCCCAUAAAUAAUAAAAACCCACAUUAUUGUUUGUGUUAA
Microcebus murinus (gray mouse lemur) is the source of this 1639-nucleotide non-coding RNA. The record is from RefSeq and is a predicted model, not a curated record. NCBI's taxonomy places the organism in Eukaryota, Metazoa, Chordata, Mammalia, Primates, Cheirogaleidae.